GACGAACGCUGGCGGCGCGCUUAACACAUGCAAGUCGAGCGAGAACCCACCUUCGGGUGGGGGAAAGCGGCGAACGGGUGAGUAACACGUGGGCAACCCACCCUUGGUAUCGGGAUAGCCCGGGGAAACCCGGAUUAAUACCGGAUGGCCCAGCAGCUCUUCGGGGCGGCUGGAAAAGGUAGCUUCGGCCUCCGACCAAGGAC
RNAcentral lists this ribosomal RNA (203 nucleotides) under uncultured bacterium. RNAcentral describes it as "partial 16S ribosomal RNA". It matches the Rfam family "Bacterial small subunit ribosomal RNA", at positions 28 to 226 of the family's 1533-position model. The record is from RNAcentral.